CCUCGGGUCUGCAGUGGGUACGGGCAGACUAGAGUGCGGUAGGGGAGAUUGGAAUUCCUGGUGUAGCGGUGGAAUGCGCAGAUAUCAGGAGGAACACCGAUGGCGAAGGCAGAUCUCUGGGCCGUAACUGACGCUGAGGAGCGAAAGCAUGGGGAGCGAACAGGAUUAGAUACCCUGGUAGUCCAUGCCGUAAACGUUGGGAACUAGAUGUGGGGGCCAUUCCACGGUCUCCGUGUCGCAGCUAACGCAUUAAGUUCCCCGCCUGGGGAGUACGGCCGCAAGGCUAAAACUCAAAGGAAUUGACGGGGGCCCGCACAAGCGGCGGAGCAUGCGGAUUAAUUCGAUGCAACGCGAAGAACCUUACCAAGGCUUGACAUAUACCGGAGACAUGCAGAGAUGUGUGCCCCGCAAGGUCGGUAUACAGGUGGUGCAUGGUUGUCGUCAGCUCGUGUCGUGAGAUGUUGGGUUAAGUCCCGCAACGAGCGCAACCCUCGUUCUAUGUUGCCAGCACGUCAUGGUGGGAACUCAUAGGAGACUGCCGGGGUCAACUCGGAGGAAGGUGGGGAUGACGUCAAAUCAUCAUGCCCCUUAUGUCUUGGGCUUCACGCAUGCUACAAUGGCCGGUACAAAGGGCUGCGAUACCGUAAGGUGGAGCGAAUCCCAAAAAGCCGGUCUCAGUUCGGAUUGAGGUCUGCAACUCGACCUCAUGAAGUCGGAGUCGCUAGUAAUCGCAGAUCAGCAACGCUGCGGUGAAUACGUUCCCGGGCCUUGUACACACCGCCCGUCAAGUCAUGAAAGUCGGUAACACCCGAAGCCAGUGGCCUAACCGCAAGGGAGGAGCUGUCGAAGGUGGGAUCGGUGAUUAGGACUAAGUCGUAACAAGGUAGCCGUACCGGAAGGUGCGGCUGGAUCACCUCCUUUCUAAGGA
This 928-nucleotide ribosomal RNA is filed under the name Clavibacter nebraskensis. Its description in RNAcentral is "bacterial SSU rRNA". It matches the Rfam family "Bacterial small subunit ribosomal RNA", at positions 613 to 1533 of the family's 1533-position model. Lineage: Bacteria; Bacillati; Actinomycetota; Actinomycetes; Micrococcales; Microbacteriaceae. The record is from RNAcentral.